GUUUCAGAGCCUUUGCUGUGGCUCCUCCGCUCCUCUGUCAGUGCUCGCUGCCGUGGGGUAAUACCUCCGCAACACCAUAACCCGCUGAGGGUGCACACCUCCCUUCCCGAGACAAGCUGUGGCCAUGUGAAGCCAGCAAAAGCCUCAAGCAGAAUCGGGGUGUUUUUCCCAAGACUGAAGACAAUAUUCUUGUCGGUGAUGUGACCAUAUUAACUUCUCUGAACCUUCUUCAGCACUGAGUGAUUUUUCUGCCUGGAAAAUACAUGUGCAGAACUGAUACUGCUUGCACCGUGGUCCAUGCGCCCGCGACGUCAGCCGAAGGACAGCACUCAGCUCCCGCGCCCACCUCGGGGCCACGCUCCGGGGAUUAGCGGCGGACGAGACCUUCCUUCCACGGCAAGUCUUCCCAACUCACGCCGAGCCGUGACAAAGGAUCGCCRGGAGCGAAGCACGGCCGCUGGCCUGGGCGCUUUGCACGCCGGCAGAGCUGCUCUUAGUGCCUGUGCGUUUGCCCUCUCACCCGUCGGUCCCAUGGACUUUCCUCCUGAGGACACUUGGCGAGCAGACRCGGGAGUCCAUAUUCUGCGAAAAGGGGGUGGAAAGCACUGGGAUUAAAUGAAAGCUGAUCCACGUCCUCUGACUCCAACCUACUGAGAGACCAACCACUCGCAAAUUUGCAGGUACCAUUAAUCCCAGCCGCCAGCGGGACGAUACAACCAGACCAUACACGUUUGGGCAUCAAACCCCUCAAGGGCUGGGAACACGCUACUUAAAAUUCGUUAAGUCAAUGUCCUUACAAACAGCACGCCUAAAACGAAAUGCAGAAUUCGUCACAGCCGCCGGUGUGUAUCUUUGUGAUAAAUAGCUGCUAAACAGAGAAAAAAGCCCUUUGUUGUAUUACAGCGCUCUGACUUCAUUUAUGUUGCUGUAAUUUGGACUGUUCACAGACAGGUUGGCACUGACCGCAUUACCCAACAUCGCCUGGGAUAUACAUAUACACUUACUGGCCCUGACCAGAUGUAGUAAAAUAAUUUGGGAUUUAAACAGUUGCUUUUGUSUACAGCCUCCUGCUGCUUUUUGUCUUUAAUCGGAGCCGGGGUUAAUACGGCAGUGAGAGUGCGAAAUGGCUUGCGAUGAUCCUAGGUGGGUCUGGGGCGGAUUAAAGGCUGAAUCGCACUCUCUUAAAACURGAGACUGCUUUUGUGCUGGUAAAUGUCAAUAUUAAUGUGUUAAAUGCGAUUGCUAGCAGGUUUAGGUUAAAACCCCAAAAAUUAGUCACACCUUAGCAAACUUAGCUAAGUAAGUGUCCCGAGGGUGACAUGUCGCGUACCAGAAGUCACUGAUCUUAGGGAAAGCGUCACUAUUUCCCGGGGGGAAGGGCUGGCGGGCAGCAAUAUCUGUGUUUUAUGGUCAGAGAYGAGACUAGGGUCUAUGUCCGACUUGGGGUUUGGGCUUUGGAUGUGAGGCGCUGGCGGGAGCUACGCACGCUCGCAUGGGUAGCGCUCUUGGCAGCCUUUGGGCUAUUUAUAUAUAUAUAUUUUUUAUAUAUUUAGCAUAAUGAUUUUUCUAAUCAUACCCCAGGAUUUGGAGAAGAAAUGGCUCGUAAUUUUUUGAUACU
Long non-coding RNA from Dromaius novaehollandiae (emu), 1618 nucleotides. NCBI's taxonomy places the organism in Eukaryota, Metazoa, Chordata, Aves, Casuariiformes, Dromaiidae. The record is from Ensembl.